RNAcentral lists this transfer RNA (84 nucleotides) under Penaeus japonicus. Its description in RNAcentral is "tRNA-Leu". It matches the Rfam family "tRNA". From Rfam's summary of the family: Transfer RNA (tRNA) molecules are approximately 80 nucleotides in length. Their secondary structure includes four short double-helical elements and three loops (D, anti-codon, and T loops). The record is from RNAcentral. Lineage: Eukaryota; Metazoa; Arthropoda; Malacostraca; Decapoda; Penaeidae.
UUCAGGAUGGCCGAGCGGUCCAAGGCGCUGCGUUCAGGUCGCAGUCCGGUCUUCCGGGCGUGGGUUCGAAUCCCACUUCUGACA